This 72-nucleotide transfer RNA is filed under the name Caudoviricetes sp. RNAcentral's name for it is "tRNA-Ile". It matches the Rfam family "tRNA". From Rfam's summary of the family: Transfer RNA (tRNA) molecules are approximately 80 nucleotides in length. Lineage: Duplodnaviria; Heunggongvirae; Uroviricota; Caudoviricetes. The record is from RNAcentral.
CGGCAUUUAAUUCAGUGGCAGAAGACACGGCUUAUAUCCGGGUUGCCGGGGGUUCGAUUCCCUCAAUGCCGA